AGCAGGAUGGCCGAUAAAGGCGUUAAACUGUAAAUUUAAUUAUAGAGGAGCCUCUUCCUGCUG
RNAcentral lists this transfer RNA (63 nucleotides) under Proasellus parvulus. RNAcentral's name for it is "transfert RNA-Y(TAC)". It matches the Rfam family "tRNA". From Rfam's summary of the family: Transfer RNA (tRNA) molecules are approximately 80 nucleotides in length. Their secondary structure includes four short double-helical elements and three loops (D, anti-codon, and T loops). Further hydrogen bonds mediate the characteristic L-shaped molecular structure. tRNAs have two regions of fundamental functional importance: the anti-codon, which is responsible for specific mRNA codon recognition, and the 3' end, to which the tRNAs corresponding amino acid is attached (by aminoacyl-tRNA synthetases). tRNAs cope with the degeneracy of the genetic code in two manners: having more than one tRNA (with a specific anti-codon) for a particular amino acid; and 'wobble' base-pairing, i.e. permitting non-standard base-pairing at the 3rd anti-codon position. Lineage: Eukaryota; Metazoa; Arthropoda; Malacostraca; Isopoda; Asellidae. The record is from RNAcentral.